This 497-nucleotide ribosomal RNA is filed under the name uncultured bacterium. RNAcentral's name for it is "partial 16S ribosomal RNA". It matches the Rfam family "Bacterial small subunit ribosomal RNA", at positions 28 to 507 of the family's 1533-position model. The record is from RNAcentral.
GAUGAACGCUGGCGGCGUGCCUAAUACAUGCAAGUCGAGCGAACAGACGAGGAGCUUGCUCCUCUGACGUUUGCGGCGGGGGGGUGUGUAACACGUGGAUAACCUCCUUCUAUGACUGGGAUAACUUCGGGAAACCGGCGCUAAUACCGGAUAAUAUUUUUAACCGUAUUGUUGAAUAGUGAAAGAUGGUUUUGCUGUGACUUCUCGAUGUAUCCGCGCCGCCUUAGCUUGUUGGUAAGUUAACGACUUACCAAGGCGGCGAUGCGUAGCCGACCUGAGAGAGUGAUCGGCCACACGGGAACGGAGACACGGUCCAGACGCCUACGAGAGGCAGCAGAAGGGAACCGUCCGCAAUGGUCGAAAGCCUGACGGAACAACGCGGCGUCAGUGACAAAGGUCUUCGGAUCGUAAAACCCUGUUAUGAGGUAAGAACAAAUGUGUAAGUAACUAUGCACUUCUUGACGGUACCUAAUCAGAAAGCCACGGCUAACUACGUG